CUCCAGUUCCCUCCUUCAUCCUGUACGGCUGCUUCCAGCUCCCGGGAGAGAAUCGCUGAGCAGCUAGAAUAGAAAAGCCUGAACCUGGCCGUAAACUGAGAGUGAGAAAUUGAGGGAGAGGAAGACAGCAAAGACAACUCCCAGGAUUCUGACUCAAGAUUGUGUUGUUGCCACUUACUGAGAUGGGGGAAGAGAAGUAGGGGGACUGUCAACAAGUAUGACUCUUCUGAAGACAUGCCAGCAGACCCUGAUAGUUGAGCAGAACAUGACACUCAAUGCUGCACUCAUCAGGACAGUGAGGGUAUUUGGGUAAGCUGUGGUAACUCUCUGGGCCUGAGUUGUUUCGUUUUCCCCACAAGAUGGGAGAAAUGAAAGCACUUUUUUUUACAUCUUGUUUCAAAGAAACAGUUGUUCUUAAAGUCUUUUAAAUGAGUAAUACCUUUGGGAUUCUACGGAAAGUUGACCUUUUCUGAAGAAAAAUAUAAAAUUUUCCUGUAUCUAGAUAUUUAUAAGACUGGUGAUUAAUCCUUGGUGAAGUGAAAGUGAAAUUCACUUAGUGGUGUCCGACUCUUAAGGAAUUUUCC
This is a long non-coding RNA of Capra hircus (goat), 584 nucleotides long. RefSeq lists it as uncharacterized. Lineage: Eukaryota; Metazoa; Chordata; Mammalia; Artiodactyla; Bovidae. The transcript has 3 exons. The record is from RefSeq and is a predicted model, not a curated record.